This 223-nucleotide long non-coding RNA is filed under the name Ananas comosus (pineapple). Its description in RNAcentral is "long non-coding RNA (ACOM_LNC005445)". Lineage: Eukaryota; Viridiplantae; Streptophyta; Magnoliopsida; Poales; Bromeliaceae. The record is from RNAcentral.
UCAUUCUCGUCUUUCGUCCACUUAAUUUUAGGUUUGUGAACGGUAGCAUUUUCGACAACUUCAGUAGGAUGUUUCCAUCCGAAUUCGAUUGAUUGCCAAACUCGCUCAUGGAUGGCAAUAAGAAAAGCUCUCAUCCGAACUUUUCGAUAAGCAUAGUUUGUACCAUUGAAGAGUGGAGAUCGAUUAAUGUUACCGUCCUCGGCCAUAGUUUACAACCUAUACC